GGUUCUAUAUAUCAGUGGUUAGAUUAUUUCGCCUACACCGAAAAGGUCGCCGGUUCGAUCCCGGCUGGAACCA
RNAcentral lists this transfer RNA (73 nucleotides) under Coemansia sp. RSA 2531. RNAcentral's name for it is "tRNA-Val". It matches the Rfam family "tRNA". From Rfam's summary of the family: Transfer RNA (tRNA) molecules are approximately 80 nucleotides in length. Their secondary structure includes four short double-helical elements and three loops (D, anti-codon, and T loops). Lineage: Eukaryota; Fungi; Kickxellomycota; Kickxellomycetes; Kickxellales; Kickxellaceae. RNAcentral also lists the same sequence under 12 other names. The record is from RNAcentral.